CACACGCUCAGGUUUCCCCAGGCUGGACUUGGGAAAGGCAAGAGAACUGUAAGCGGGCUAUUCGGAGAGGCUGACACAGAAGAACUGGCAGGUGCGGAGGAUGAAAGCGAGGCAGACUCUUCCAGAUGCCUCGGGCCAUAUUCUCCUUCAUAUCUACAAUGAAAACCUGCUGGAGGAAGUAUUACAGCUUGCAUUUACCUGCCUACUAGGGCGUGGCCUCUUAUACUAUUUAUGGGACAGCCAAAGGUGCAUGGGCCCCUUUUUGCUCGUUCCCCUUGCUCACUCCGUUCCUGCUGGCUGCUCUUCUGGAUUGCGUGAUUCCACCAGUCAAGUGGAAGAUUCUGAUUUGCGAGUUUACCCCUUAAUAAAUGACUAUCGAUUUC
Myodes glareolus (Bank vole) is the source of this 383-nucleotide non-coding RNA. The record is from RefSeq and is a predicted model, not a curated record. NCBI's taxonomy places the organism in Eukaryota, Metazoa, Chordata, Mammalia, Rodentia, Cricetidae.